RNAcentral lists this transfer RNA (85 nucleotides) under archaeon. RNAcentral describes it as "tRNA-Ser". It matches the Rfam family "tRNA". Rfam says of the family: Transfer RNA (tRNA) molecules are approximately 80 nucleotides in length. Their secondary structure includes four short double-helical elements and three loops (D, anti-codon, and T loops). The record is from RNAcentral.
GCCGGGGUCUCCUAGCCCGGUAGGGAGCGGGCCUGCUAAGCCCGUGGCCGUAACGGCCGCGCGGGUUCAAAUCCCGCCCCCGGCG